UCAUGGAUAAUGUUAUUGGUCUCUUGUACGUAGCACCAAGCCCAUUCUGCCGAAUUAGCGUCCUCUCCAUCAUUGGCUUUCCUCAUGGUGGUGAGGUGAGCUCUAGAAGAACCAAUCAAAGCUGGACAUGUCCAUUUUCUCAUUUAGUUUUCUUAAGCUCAUCAUGCAGACCAAGUAGCGGUACAAAAACAUACACGAAUGCUGCCAAGUAAUGUACUAAACUAGAGUGAUAAAAAAAUGAAGCACCAAUGUUGAAAUAAAAUUUAGUUGAGUUCAACCCCCCAAUCACUUCGCCUAAAGAAAGAAAAAUGAAAAACAAAAAAACAUUUCUCAUCAAAAUUUUGAAAACAUCGAACACUUGAAGUGCAUGAAUAAGUAUGGCGUGAGCUCUAGAUGCAAGCAGCUCCAGAUCCUUUUAACAACCAUAAUCACCCUAUCAGGAUACUGUACCACUAUACAUAUACUUUUCCUCCCCUGUAAAUACCUCUUCUCCAUUCUGUAUGGUGUGUGCAUGUUUAGAUAGACAAUACAUCGCCUAUCUUAAAAUUGGAUGGCUAUUGCCUAUUAAGCCAUCAAUGUGUCGUCCAUACGAUCAUGCUCGGCCCUCUUUGAUGCAAAACAUGCAACAUCAAUGAUCUCAAAAUUAGAGAAGAGAAAUUAUCCUAAUCUGAUGAUAGAAGAUUCAUUUUGUGUACUUGUUUUUAGAAAGGAUGUUGAGGUAUG
This 723-nucleotide long non-coding RNA is filed under the name Phoenix dactylifera (date palm). RNAcentral describes it as "long non-coding RNA (PDAC_LNC014741)". The record is from RNAcentral. Lineage: Eukaryota; Viridiplantae; Streptophyta; Magnoliopsida; Arecales; Arecaceae.